Molecule: long non-coding RNA, 1968 nt
Organism: Bos grunniens (domestic yak)
Lineage: Eukaryota; Metazoa; Chordata; Mammalia; Artiodactyla; Bovidae
Source: Ensembl
ACAAAUACUUCUCUUACACCAACUCGGUGCCGAAGCCAGGUUCUUCCCAGCGCCCACACGCUCCCCAGAAGGAAAGUUCAAUGCAGCCAGCCUCUGGCUUCCCGUGACUCGUGUCUGGCCUGGAGACGUGAGACUGAUUCCAAAUCUGGCUCUGCUGCCGCGUACUGUGGGACUUCAGGGAGCCUGGUCUCUCUCUGGGCCUUCCCAGGAGAGGAAGGGACAGAGUGGGGGUGCUCCCCGCAUCCCGCUGGCUCCAGGAGGGCACAGUGGGUACCGCCGGUCAUAGUGGCCCCGGCCCAUUCUGUGCAGGCACCAGAUGGGCACUGCUGGCCGGCUGCUCGCUGUCUGCACCCCGACAGCUGGCCUGGCUCUCGACCUCCCUGCUGCUCCAGACAGCAGGAGCCCAAGGUCACCCUGACGCGUCACUCUCCAGCAGGGAGGCUCGGAGUCCAGCCAGGUGGUGGCCACUGCUGCCACCAGCCCUGCCCUGGGCGCCUUCCUCCUGGCCCUGUGCUGCCCUCAGCCCGUCCAUGCCAAGGCCUGGCCCCAGAACACCUGCUCCCCCAGGGUCAGCGAGUGGUGCUGGCGGGGUGGCAGGGGGUGCUGGGGUCCCGGCAGCCCCUCCCACACCCCCUCACCCCCAGACACUCCAGGGUCUGGUGGCCGAGAGUGAGCAGAUGCAGAGUCUGUGCAGGCAAGCCAGGGUCCCCCGUGCUCAGGCGUCCAGGCGGGGCGCGGGGGACUGGCCAGCCAUCUCCUGUCCCUCUGUCCCGAUGCCCAGCCUUGCCCCACCCCAGGCUGCCCUGCCUCAAGAGCCUCCCCUCUGCAGCCCACCCCCGGCCUGGCCAGCAGAGCUGGGCUGUGCACUCACAUGUGCCACCCUCCUGGCUCCUGAAGGCCCAAGGCCUCGCACCUGCGGCCAGAGGUGUAAAAUCCAAUUUGCGGCCGACACCUCCUCCAGACACCCUGGGCCUGAGCAGCCAGCGGCCCCAUGGCUGCAAAGUGAGGAUGCAGCUGCCGCCCCCACCCAGGGGUCUGCCCACCACCUCGCCCCUCAAGCCUGUCUUGCCGCCGUGCCCACACUGCCGCAGGGUCGCAUUUCCCAGGCCUUGGGGAAGAAAGUGUCAAGAAACGCAGAGCUUCGCAGGAUCGUUCAACCUGAAGCUGUCUUUGGGGCAAAGCAGCCAGGGUCCGGAAUGCUUCAGACCCUCUGCAGCAGAAGACGGACUGGGGGGUGGGGAUGGGGGGCUGGAGAACGAGGGGCCGCUGAGCAGGAAGCAGCCUCCUGCAGACCCUUCUGGAAUUCUGAGGCCAUGGACUCUGCCUGUCCUGGGGCCUGGUGUGUGCAGCCCCCAGCCCACAAGGUCCUUAGCUCUAUGGGGGCCUGGGAAGGGCAACGCUGAGUCCUGCAGAGAGAGGUUGGGGUCUGCCUGCACGCCCUCCCCACGGCGGGCGGGGGCAUCUCCCGCCCUCUUCUACCUGCAGAGGCCAUGCACUCCCAGUGGCCUCUCUGGCUCCAGCCCCUCCUGGGUAGGAAUGCCUCCCCCACGCCUCACUCCUGCAGAAGAGGGGGACCCACGGACAACCUGGGCUGGGCUCUUCCCACCUGGGACCCUAUUCUCCGUGCCCAGCACCUGGCCGUGUGCCCAGAAGCAGAAAAGCUGUGACAUCACUUCGGGAGCUGGAGAGGCCACAGAGCUGCGUUGGGGGAACAGGGUGGUGGGCUGCCCACUGGUCCUUGGGGAGGACGGGGCCAGCCACGGCCAGGCUGGGCUCCCACGGUCGGUGGAGGCCCACCCCCAUCUUGCAUUUCCUGCCCACGCGGCCAUCUCACUCACACACUCACACACUCACACACACCCCCGCCACCCCUCCCACCCAACACAGCCCAGGCUCCAUCUCUGGGGUCCCAGAGCCAGAAGCUGCCUCCUGCUGACGGAUGACAGAUGGAGACCAGUGGUCCUGUAG